This 253-nucleotide ribosomal RNA is filed under the name uncultured bacterium. RNAcentral describes it as "partial 16S ribosomal RNA". It matches the Rfam family "Bacterial small subunit ribosomal RNA", at positions 524 to 776 of the family's 1533-position model. The record is from RNAcentral.
UACGGAGGGUGCGACCGUUAAUCGGAACCACUGGGCGUAAAGCGCGCGUAGGCGGUCUGUUAAGUGGGAUGUGAAAUCCCCGGGCUUAACCUGGGAAUUGCAUUUCAAACUGGCCGACUAGAGUACGGUAGAGGGAGGUAGAAUUUCCUGUGUAGCGGUGAAAUGCGUAGAUAUAGGAAGGAAUACCAGUGGCGAAGGCGGCCUCCUGGAUCGAUACUGACGCUGAGGCGCGAAAGCGUGGGGAGCAAACAGG